UGAGCCCUAUCAUUAUAGGAAAUUUUACUUGUCCAAUUACCUCUGAGAAAAUGGCUCAAAAUGCUUAUGCAUUUUCAAUUAUUUCUUCUCUUUGCCUCAUGUUUAUGUUCACGUUUGGGAAUGGCCAACUUGAUUAUAAAUUCUAUGAUAAUACUUGUCCCAACUUGACAAGGAUUAUCAGAAAUGGAGUCUGGUCUGCCAUAGCAAAUGAAACAAGGAUUGCUGCUUCUCUUUUGCGCUUGCACUUCCAUGACUGCUUUGUUCUUGGUUGUGAAGGAUCCAUUUUACUGGAUGAUACCAGCAACUUAAGGGGAGAGAAGAAUGCACUCCCCAAUCGGAAUUCUGUCCGUGGAUUUGAAGUUAUUGACCAAAUAAAAGCAGAUGUUGAGAAAGCUUGCCCAUCCACUGUUUCUUGUACUGAUAUAUUAACACUUGCCACCCGGGAUGCUGUCUUUCUGAGCGGAGGGCCUUUUUGGCCUGUCCCCUUGGGCCGUCGAGAUGGCCUAACUGCAAAUGAGACUGCUGCCAACACAGACCUCCCAUCGCCCUUUGAACCCUUGGAAAAUAUCACUUCAAAGUUUGUCGCCAAGGGCCUCAAUUUGAAAGAUGUCGUAAUUCUGUCUGGUGGUCACACAAUCGGCUUUGCUCAGUGUUUCACAUUCAAACAGAGACUUUUCAACUUCGAUGGGGCCGGCAAUCCUGAUCCAUUGCUAGAAACAUCCCUUUUAGACAGUCUGCGCGGCAUCUGUCCAAACCAAGACAACUCAGACACCAACCUAGCUCCCCUGGACGUGGCCACUGUAAGAAAGUUCGACAACAGCUAUUUCAAGAUGCUCGUCAACAACUCCGGGGUUCUACAGUCCGACCAAGUGCUGAUGACCGACAACACGACUGCUGCUUGCGUUUUGAACUACAGCAAAUCCCUUCCCCUCUUCCUGAAGGACUUCGCGGCAUCGAUGGUGAAGAUGAGCAAGAUCGGCGUCAUCACUGGACAAGAGGGACAGAUCAGGAGAAGUUGUAGGGCUGUGAAUUAGGAAGCAAUCAGUGAAAUUAUUUAAGUUUUUAUGAUUGCACGAAUGAAUGCUUGAAAUGUCGAUUGAAUAAGACCAUGUUUGUAUCACGAAAUUAUACAAGUUUUUAUGAUUCAUGGGAUUGGUGCAGUGCACGUGACACAGCGAAGGGCGGGUGAUUCUUGGCAGCUCCCGGGAUCCCAGCUCCUGAUUGUAUCUACGAUGGCCCGUGGGGUC
RNA transcript from Andrographis paniculata, 1247 nucleotides. It is a transcript of the gene named peroxidase 10-like, with no coding region annotated. The transcript is spliced from 5 exons. The record is from RefSeq and is a predicted model, not a curated record. Lineage: Eukaryota; Viridiplantae; Streptophyta; Magnoliopsida; Lamiales; Acanthaceae.